This is an RNA transcript of Gavialis gangeticus (Gharial), 1279 nucleotides long. It is a transcript of the gene named chromosome unknown C14orf105 homolog, with no coding region annotated. The transcript is spliced from 7 exons. The record is from RefSeq and is a predicted model, not a curated record. NCBI's taxonomy places the organism in Eukaryota, Metazoa, Chordata, Crocodylia, Gavialidae.
GUAACCAGCCACUCGGGCUGCAAUGUGUGUGGUGUUGGUUCAGGUAAGAUGCCCUAGAAAGAGCCUAGAGGCUUUGCAAACACGGGCGCAGCAUGAAAGCCACAGAUCAGCGUUGAGGCCAAGUUCAAGGACGACUGCAGGGAAGCAGUUUCUUCCACCGAAUGCUGUAACUCAGUAAAAUGGGCCUGAGCCACUCCAAGACACGCCCCAAGGUGACAAAAGUGGCACCGGUGCAAACCAAAGAAGCUGUGCCAGCCUCCCCUUGCUCUGCGACCCUGUCUCGAUUUCACGGCGUUCUGGAAGAGAGGAGCUUGGGCUCCUUCGCAGCCAUGGAGGAGAGAAGCCCCAUGCUUCAAAGACAGCUCCCGCCUCUGAGAGAAACGUGGUAUGGGAGAUGCUCCACAGUGCCGAGGCCCAUUGCCUUUGACAUCAUGCCGGAAAAGGGAGAAACCAGUAUUAUUAAACAGCAUCCCCCUCGAAGACCUCAAAAGCUUGAACCUAUUGACCUGCCGCCAGUGAUCACUUCAGAGGCACGCUGGAGACCGCAAGAGCAGGAAGCAGCACAAAAAGCAAAGAACUGGGAGAAGAGAGUACAGGCCGUGACACACUCCACAGGAAGACGACAGCACUUGCACAAGCUGCAGAUGUUAGAAUUGAACCGCAAGCGACAAGAGGCAGAGAUGAAGCGAGGGCACCACAGGGAGGCAAAACUCAAACAAAAACCGGAAGAGCUGAAACCUGAGAAAGUGCAUGGGAGGAUCUGGAGGAACAAUAGCUCUGACAGCGAAGACCGGGUCCCUGUUGAGCCUGCUCUUCCUUACACCAAAGACCACAGGACUACGUGGGAUGGAGAAUUCCUAGAGCAAUGCCAAAUGUUUGAGUCUCAUCCAAGGCAAAGCAGUAAAGUGGAAAUGUGGUCCCUGAAACAACAGGCGGCAAAAGAGCUAUUUUGGGACAGCUCUAGCACGGACUCUGAGGACUGGAAAAAUGGGGAGAGAAAGCUGUAUCACAGACCAGGGCUUGUGAGGACCAAGACAGAGAGAAUCUCUCUCUUUGAUGAGUUCUUUGAUAAGCACUUCUAACUGCCAAGGGCCAGGAUGCGACCCUAGCUAUCCCCUGGGACAGCAGUUAUGUCACGAGGCUUUUAAACCCCCUAGCUGGAUACACUGAAGGCCCUUCUUGGAAAUCCCAGCCUCACUGGCCAGCCCAGGAUCAUAUGGAAAAGCUGUAGCAGAGCUUGAAAUCAAACUCUUUCAUCUUGAUUUCCAGCCCAGGGCCA